CCCUUAGAUGUUCUGGGCCGCACGCGCGCUACACUGUUUGAUUCAGCGAGUCUUAACCUUGACCGAAAGGUUUGGAUAAUCUUCUAAAGUCAAACGUGAUGGGGAUCGAUCAUUGCAAUUAUUGAUCGUGAACGAGGAAUUCCUAGUAAAUGCAAGUCAUCAGCUUGCGUUGAUUACGUCCCUGCCCUUUGUACACACCGCCCGUCGCUACUACCGAUUGAGUGGUCCGGUGAGGCUUUGGGAUCUGAGCGGAAAGAGCGUUUCGCUGUUUCUGCUCGGAAAACUCAGUCGAACCUUAUCAUUUAGAGGAAGGAGAAGUCGUAACA
This 326-nucleotide ribosomal RNA is filed under the name uncultured eukaryote. Its description in RNAcentral is "partial 18S ribosomal RNA". It matches the Rfam family "Eukaryotic small subunit ribosomal RNA", at positions 1470 to 1796 of the family's 1831-position model. The record is from RNAcentral.